Molecule: ribosomal RNA, 441 nt
Filed under: uncultured Alphaproteobacteria bacterium
Lineage: Bacteria; Pseudomonadati; Pseudomonadota; Alphaproteobacteria
Description: partial 16S ribosomal RNA
Source: RNAcentral
GACUACUCGGGUAUCUAAGCCUGUUUGAUCCCCACGCUUUCGCGCUGCAGCGUCAGAAACUGGCCAGUGAGCCGCCUUCGCCACUGGUGUUCUUCCCAAUAUCUACGAAUUUCACCUCUACACUGGGAAUUCCACUCACCUCUCCAGUCCUCAAAGCCUCGCAGUCCCAAAGGCAAUUCCUAAGUUGAGCUCAGGCAUUUCACCUCUGGCUUGCAAAACCGCCUACGCGCGCUUUACGCCCAGUAAUUCCGAACAACGCUAGCCCCCUUCGUAUUACCGCGGCUGCUGGCACGAAGUUAGCCGGGGCUUCUUCUCUCGUUACCGUCAUCAUCGUCACGAGCGAAAGAACUUUACAAUCCUAAGACCUUCAUCAUUCACGCGGCAUGGCUGCGUCAGGCUUUCGCCCAUUGCGCAAGAUUCCCCACUGCAGCCUCCCGUAGG